UGGCUAAUCCUGGUCGGACAUCAGGAGGUUAGUGCAAUGGCAUAAGCCAGCUUGACUGCGAGCGUGACGGCGCGAGCAGGUGCGAAAGCAGGUCAUAGUGAUCCGGUGGUUCUGAAUGGAAGGGCCAUCGCUCAACGGAUAAAAGGUACUCCGGGGAUAACAGGCUGAUACCGCCCAAGAGUUCAUAUCGACGGCGGUGUUUGGCACCUCGAUGUCGGCUCAUCACAUCCUGGGGCUGAAGUAGGUCCCAAGGGUAUGGCUGUUCGCCAUUUAAAGUGGUACGCGAGCUGGGUUUAGAACGUCGUGAGACAGUUCGGUCCCUAUCUGCCGUGGGCGCUGGAGAAUUGAGGGGGGCUGCUCCUAGUACGAGAGGACCGGAGUGGACGCAUCACUGGUGUUCGGGUUGUCAUGCCAAUGGCACUGCCCGGUAGCUAAAUGC
RNAcentral lists this ribosomal RNA (439 nucleotides) under Escherichia coli. RNAcentral describes it as "bacterial LSU rRNA". It matches the Rfam family "Bacterial large subunit ribosomal RNA", at positions 2318 to 2756 of the family's 2925-position model. Lineage: Bacteria; Pseudomonadati; Pseudomonadota; Gammaproteobacteria; Enterobacterales; Enterobacteriaceae. The record is from RNAcentral.